AUUGAACGCUGGCGGCAGGCCUAACACAUGCAAGUCGAGCGGAUGAAGGGAGCUUGCUCCUGGAUUCAGCGGCGGACGGGUGAGUAAUGCCUAGGAAUCUGCCUGGUAGUGGGGGAUAACGUCCGGAAACGGGCGCUAAUACCGCAUACGUCCUGAGGGAGAAAGUGGGGGAUCUUCGGACCUCACGCUAUCAGAUGAGCCUAGGUCGGAUUAGCUAGUUGGUGGGGUAAAGGCCUACCAAGGCGACGAUCCGUAACUGGUCUGAGAGGAUGAUCAGUCACCCUGGAACUGAGACACGGUCCCGACUCCUACGGGAGGCAGCAGUGGGGAAUAUUGGACAAUGGGCGAAAGCCUGAUCCAGCCAUGCCGCGUGUGUGAAGAAGGUCUUCGGAUUGUAAAGCACUUUAAGUUGGGAGGAAGGGCAGUAAGUUAAUACCUUGCUGUUUUGACGUUACCAACAGAAUAAGCACCGGCUAACUUCGUG
This 484-nucleotide ribosomal RNA is filed under the name uncultured bacterium. RNAcentral describes it as "partial 16S ribosomal RNA". It matches the Rfam family "Bacterial small subunit ribosomal RNA", at positions 30 to 507 of the family's 1533-position model. The record is from RNAcentral.